RNAcentral lists this ribosomal RNA (497 nucleotides) under uncultured bacterium. RNAcentral describes it as "partial 16S ribosomal RNA". It matches the Rfam family "Bacterial small subunit ribosomal RNA", at positions 28 to 507 of the family's 1533-position model. The record is from RNAcentral.
GACGAACGCUGGCGGCGUGCCUAAUACAUGCAAGUUGAGCGAUGAAGAUUGGUGCUUGCACCAAUUUGAAGAGCAGCGAACGGGUGAGUAACGCGUGGGGAAUCUGCCUUUGAGCGGGGGACAACAUUUGGAAACGAAUGCUAAUACCGCAUAACAACUUUAAACAUAAGUUUUAAGUUUGAAAGAUGCAAUUGCAUCACUCAAAGAUGAUCCCGCGUUGUAUUAGCUAGUUGGUGAGGUAAAGGCUCACCAAGGCGAUGAUACAUAGCCGACCUGAGAGGGUGAUCGGCCACAUUGGGACUGAGACACAGCCCAAACUCCUACGGGAGGCAGCAGUAGGGAAUCUUCGGCAAUGGACGAAAGUCUGACCGAGCAACGCCGCGUGAGUGAAGAAGGUUUUCGGAUCGUAAAACUCUGUUGGUAGAGAAGAACGUUGGUGAGAGUGGAAAGCUCAUAAAGUGACGGUAACUACCCAGAAAGGGACGGCUAACUACGUG